RNAcentral lists this long non-coding RNA (1939 nucleotides) under Sus scrofa (pig). Its description in RNAcentral is "lncRNA (ENSSSCG00055006708.1)". Lineage: Eukaryota; Metazoa; Chordata; Mammalia; Artiodactyla; Suidae. The record is from RNAcentral.
GUGUGUGUCCCCCUAGCAACGCACGACGAUGUUGUGGAGGCCGGUGGGAGUGAGAAGACCGAGGAGGAGGCCCAGGCUGUGACCAAGGAGGAGGAGGCGGGCCCGGCCCCUGAGAAGGGGGCAGAGGAGGCCGCAGCCGUUGGCGAGGCAGAGGAGGAGGCGGGCCCAGGCAGUGACAAUGACAAGACGUCCCCAGCCAGGGCUGGGGCUGAGCAGGAAGAUGAAUCUGCCCCCAAGGUGGACGGGACAGACGGUGAAAGCUUGUGGAGCACUGUGAGUCUGUGUGGCAGCGUCCACGAUGAAGAUGACACAGACUCGGUGGUGGGGAGCAGCAACAGCCACCAGGACGAGGAGGCUGCAGGUAGGGAAGAGCACGCAGCUGGGAUCCAGUGGGAGAGGGUUCCUGGGAGCACCUGGGUUGCACCUGCUGCCGGGCGAGGGAGGAAGGGGGAUGGGACAUGGCGGGUGGGUGGGUGGCCUAAUGAGUGGAAGCCUGGUGUGGCGUUUUCCCCUCUGAAAUUGAUCACACGAAGAAGACUUGGGUGCCUGGUCUUUGUUGUGCUGUGUGUGUCUUCCUGUCUCCUUCCUUGGAGAAGGAAAAUGGAUUUUCCCUCCCAAAGCUGCUCCUUCCAGCUCUUGGCUCUGGCCACUGUGCCAGCUUGCUUUGUGACUCGCACCCUGAGGGUCCUGUGCACAAGAGCUGUUGACUUAGUUUCCUUUAGUGACCUUGAUGGACCUGACGGGGUGGGACGCCAACCUCUCCUAGGCCCCCGACCCUGGAGACGAAGUUGGUCUAGUGAGUGUCAGGUGGUGGGUGAGAAGGCAGCUCUCUCCCUCUGCACGUGCAGGAUUUCUGGGCUCCCUGACCUGUUGUGUCCUCACGGUGUGUCCUCAGGGAAGGGGCGUCCCGAGAGUUGGAUGCCCAGAACAGGGAACUGAGGCACAGAGAUUACUAGGUCCCCUUCCCUGGCAUGUGUUUCUUCAACAGGGGAUGUGCAGAGUUCGCUAGUGUCCUAGACGUUAAGGGUCCAGUGUUGGAUCCCUGCUGUGGUGCAGAGUCUAGCCGUGGCCUGGGAAGUUCUGCAUGCCCUCCCUGGGAGUGGCGAAAAUCAGUCAGUCAAUCAUUGGGAUUGACAUCAGACCAUUCUGCAUGGUCAUCAUCUAGGUUGUCUCAGCUACCAAGAGGCGUUUUCCCACAACCCUGUGUGGGGAGGUAGCGGUUUGAAGUGCAGCCCAAAGAGCAAGGUCUUUCUAAGUAGAACUUGGAUGCUGGAGGCUCUGCUGGGCAGCUGGGGAUUAUGGGCAUUGAGGGCUUGGCCUGGGAGUCAACGAUUAGUCAUGUCCCUGUGGUCUUCUGCAGUCAGUCUAUCACUCGUUCUCUCUGUUGUCAUGUAUUUUCCAGAAUCUUGCUUUGGGAGGAAAGGAUCUUGCUUCAGGAGCCUGAGGAUAAGUUUGUCCUCUGCGAGCUUGGCUAGACUAAUCCCCUGGUGGCCGCACAACAGGGUGCACCCAGCCACUGAGCCAGAUGAAGGUACUGUGGAACCUGACUCAGUACACUCAGGCAUGAACGAUGAUUCUGGUUCAUUCAGUGCUCCAGAUUUCAGAACAAACUCUACAGGUGCUAAGCCGUAUCUCUCUUCUAGUGCAUGGUGCAAAUUCAAAUGAACUAACUCGGAGUUCCGGUCGUGGCGCAGUGGUUAAGGACUCCGACUAGGAACCAUGAGGUUGCGAGUUGGAUCUCUGGCCUUGCUCAGUGGGUUAAGGAUCCGGGGUUGCCGUGAGCUGUGGUGUUGGCCACAGAUGCGGUUCGAAUCCCGAGUUGCAGUGGCUGUGGCGUAGGCCAGUGGCUACAACUCUGAUUAGACCCCUCUCCUGGGAGCCUGCGCAUGCCAAGGGAAGCGGGCCUAGAAAAGGCAAAAUGACCAAAACCCAACCAACC